CCGGAGGAAUGUGCGGUGUAGCGGUGAAAUGCANAGAUAUCGCACAGAACACCGAUUGCGGAGGCAUCCGGCUAGAUCGUGAUCGACGCUGAGACACGAAAGCGUGGGGAUCGAACAGGAUUAGAUACCCUGGUAGUCCACGCCGUAAACGAUGAUGACUAACCGUCGGGCCGGUUUAGGUCCGGUGGCCAAGCGAAAGCGAUAAGUCAUUCACCUGGGGAGUACGGCCGCAAGGCUGAAACUCAAAGGAAUUGACGGGGGCCCGCACAAGCGGAGGAACAUGUGGUUUAAUUCGAUGAUACGCGAGGAACCUUACCCGGGCUCGAACGGCUGCGGAAUGUGCCCGAGAGGACACAGCCUACGGGCUGCAGUCGAGGUGCUGCAUGGUUGUCGUCAGCUCGUGCCGUGAGGUGUCGGCUCAAGUGCCAUAACGAGCGCAACCCUUGCCUUCAGUUGCCAUCGGGUAAAGCCGGGGACUCUGGAGGGACUGCCACCGCAAGGUGAGAGGAAGGGGGGGAUGACGUCAAAUCAGCACGGCCCUUACGUCCGGGGCGACACACGUGUUACAAUGGCAGGUACAGAGGGGGGCCACACCGCGANGNNNNGNGGAUCCCGAAAGCCUGUCCCAGUUCGGAUCGGAGUCUGCAACCCCCCUCCGUGAAGCUGGAUUCGCUAGUAAUCGCGCAUCAGCCAUGGCGCGGUGAAUACGUUCCCGGGCCUUGUACACACCGCCCGUCAAGCCAUGGGAGCCGGGGGUGCCUGAAGUCCGUGACCGGAAGGAGCGGCCUAGGGCAAUACCGGUGACUGGGGCUAAGUCGUAACAAGGUAACC
Molecule: ribosomal RNA, 831 nt
Filed under: uncultured bacterium
Lineage: Bacteria
Description: bacterial SSU rRNA
Rfam family: Bacterial small subunit ribosomal RNA
Source: RNAcentral